Molecule: long non-coding RNA, 386 nt
Filed under: Chinchilla lanigera (long-tailed chinchilla)
Lineage: Eukaryota; Metazoa; Chordata; Mammalia; Rodentia; Chinchillidae
Description: lncRNA (ENSCLAG00000025538.1)
Source: RNAcentral
CUAGCAAACUGCAGAACUCAUUACGCUGUCCCACCUGCACCUCAUUUUGCUCCCAGCACCUUCAGCCUCUUCCUGCAGGAACCCAAGAUGACUCUAUCAGGUGGCCUUGUUUAAUAUUCGGCUCAGUCGAAGAGAAUCUAAUGAAAGCGAGCAGCUGACACGGCCUUGGUGUUCACCGCGGCUCAGCCAUCCCAGCAAGAUUUGGCAGCAGGCUCUAACACAGGGCUCCCACCGAUUGCUGCUGGGAAGUCCUGAGCUGAUGAGCAGACGAACGAAAGGCUUAGAAAAUAAGAAAAAACAAUGUCACCAGUGGCUACACGGCAAAUGGACUGAAGAGAUAAAAAUGGAAACAGGGAGAUAGGAAAAACUUACCAUAGUUCCUGUGA